AUUGAAUGCUCUCAAAGCUGAACUUUUUGCCUGUUUAAAGUGACACAGCUGUAUAGUUGAUCCCUCCUUGAAGGACUUUUUUUUUUUUUUUUUAAGUACACCCUGUUGAAUUUGAUGACUUCUUAAUCUUAACUGUUAGCUGGAGUCUUCACAACUUAAUUAUCCAGAUAUAACAGAAACUGAGAUGUUAAUAAUAAACUCAGAAAUCUGCUGCUUAACCAGCUGUCUUGUUAAUUAUGGUAACAACAGACUGGCAAUUGCUUUGAUUAAAACACCCUGGGCUUGGUUUGCCUUUUCAAGCCCCUAUCACUGUCCAUAGAGAUUCAGUUCUGCUGUGCUCUCUCCCCUUCCAAGCAUGCAGAGGAGCACACCAGGGCCUCUGGAGAGGCUGCUGUGUAGCCCAGGACAAGGAUUCUGCCUCAGAACAUCCCUGUGUACUUUAAUCCUCAAGCUCCUGUGUAACUGGUAAGGAACUCUCUAUGCUGCCUCAUUCUGAGUAAAUUGCUCCUUGAAAUAGGAAGUGCUGGUUUUUUUCAUGUGCUGAGGUGCAAUAAAAGGCCAACUCCCCACCCAUUCUGAACAUAAUCUUCCUUUGAUUCUAUCUUAUAAAAAGCUGAGAUUGUGCUGGAGGAGAGCAAGACGCACCUUCAGCGUGCUCGGAAACGUCUCGUUGGAAGGAUGAAGCUCUGGGCAAUUUGUGGCUUUUUGUUUCUCUGUCUUUUGUGCCUCAAUGUCUUUUCUGCAGAAGGUCAGAGGAUGAGAAGACGCUGCUGUUCAAAAGCAUCCAAAGUCAACAAAAAUCAACAUAAAGGUAAAAAGGUUUACAGUUUCAUUAUAUAAAUUAGGUAAUCAUAAGAGAGAAAUCACAGCACUCUGUUUUUUUCCAUCUGCAAACUUCACAUAAUUUUCCAUACAGGUAAAUAUUAGCUUCAUUGGAUCACUGAGAACUUGUUCUCUUUUUUUUAGGAAACUUACUGAGUGUUUGGAUUGGGAAGAAAUAAGAUUAGAAAAUAUUAGAACCCAUUUAAUGCCCAUAGU
This 1038-nucleotide long non-coding RNA is filed under the name Junco hyemalis (dark-eyed junco). Its description in RNAcentral is "lncRNA (ENSJHYG00000008014.1)". The record is from RNAcentral. Lineage: Eukaryota; Metazoa; Chordata; Aves; Passeriformes; Passerellidae.